Molecule: ribosomal RNA, 1279 nt
Filed under: metagenome
Description: bacterial SSU rRNA
Rfam family: Bacterial small subunit ribosomal RNA
Source: RNAcentral
GCAAGGCCUUGCGCUCUUUGAGCGGCCGAUGUCAGAUUAGCUAGUUGGUGAGGUAAAGGCUUACCAAGGCGACGAUCUGUAGCGGGUCUGAGAGGAUGAUCCGCCACACUGGAACUGAGACACGGUCCAGACUCCUACGGGAGGCAGCAGUGGGGAAUUUUGGACAAUGGGGGCAACCCUGAUCCAGCCAUGCCGCGUGAGUGAAGAAGGCCUUCGGGUUGUAAAGCUCUUUCGGCCGGGAAGAAAUCGCAUGGGCCAAUACCCUGUGUGGAUGACGGUACCGGAAUAAGAAGCACCGGCUAACUACGUGCCAGCAGCCGCGGUAAUACGUAGGGUGCGAGCGUUAAUCGGAAUUACUGGGCGUAAAGCGUGCGCAGGCGGUUUUGUAAGACAGGCGUGAAAUCCCCGGGCUUAACCUGGGAACUGCGUUUGUGACUGCAAGGCUAGAGUACGGCAGAGGGGGGUGGAAUUCCACGUGUAGCAGUGAAAUGCGUAGAGAUGUGGAGGAACACCAAUGGCGAAGGCAGCCCCCUGGGUCGAUACUGACGCUCAUGCACGAAAGCGUGGGUAGCAAACAGGAUUAGAUACCCUGGUAGUCCACGCCCUAAACUAUGUCAACUAGGUGUUGGGUGGGUAAAACCAUUUAGUACCGUAGCUAACGCGUGAAGUUGACCGCCUGGGGAGUAUGGCCGCAAGGUUAAAACUCAAAGGAAUUGACGGGGACCCGCACAAGCGGUGGAUGAUGUGGAUUAAUUCGAUGCAACGCGAAAAACCUUACCUACCCUUGACAUGCCAGGAACUUGCCAGAGAUGGCUUGGUGCCCGAAAGGGAGCCUGGACACAGGUGCUGCAUGGCUGUCGUCAGCUCGUGUCGUGAGAUGUUGGGUUAAGUCCCGCAACGAGCGCAACCCUUGUCGUUAAUUGCCAUCAUUUAGUUGGGCACUUUAACGAGACUGCCGGUGACAAACCGGAGGAAGGUGGGGAUGACGUCAAGUCCUCAUGGCCCUUAUGGGUAAGGCUUCACACGUCAUACAAUGGUCGGUACAAAGGGUUGCCAAGCCGCGAGGCGGAGCCAAUCCCAGAAAGCCGAUCGUAGUCCGGAUUGCAGGCUGCAACUCGCCUGCAUGAAGUCGGAAUCGCUAGUAAUCGUGGAUCAGCAUGUCACGGUGAAUACGUUCCCGGGUCUUGUACACACCGCCCGUCACACCAUGGGAGCGGGUUCCGCCAGAAGUAGGUAGCCUAACCGCAAGGGGGGCGCUUACCACGGCGGGGUUCGUGAC